RNAcentral lists this ribosomal RNA (446 nucleotides) under uncultured bacterium. RNAcentral's name for it is "partial 16S ribosomal RNA". It matches the Rfam family "Bacterial small subunit ribosomal RNA", at positions 338 to 795 of the family's 1533-position model. The record is from RNAcentral.
CCUACGGGAGGCUGCAGUAGGGAAUUUUCGGCAAUGGGGGGAACCCUGACCGAGCAACGCCGCGUGAACGAAGAAGUUAUUCGUAAUGUAAAGUUCUUUUAACAGGGAAGAAAGAGAAAUUUGACGGUACCUGAAGAAUAAGCUACGGCCAACUACGUGAGCGAAGCCGCGUUAAUACGUAGGGAGCGAGGGUAAUCCGGAAUUAUUGGGCGUAAAGGGUGCGUAGGCGGACUGUUAAGUCAGCGGUAAAAGCCCGGGGCUCAACCCCGGCGAGCCGUUGAAACUGGCUGUCUUGAGAUGUCGAGAGGUAUGCGGAAUGCGCAGUGUAGCGGUGAAAUGCUUAGAUAGUGCGCAGAACUCCGAUUGCGAAGGCAGCAUACCGGCGGCGAUCUGACGCUGAGGCACGAAAGCGUGGGUAUCGAACAGGAUUAGAUACCCUGGUAGUC